RNAcentral lists this unclassified non-coding RNA (271 nucleotides) under uncultured fungus. RNAcentral's name for it is "partial contains 5.8S ribosomal RNA, internal transcribed spacer 2, and large subunit ribosomal RNA". The stretch from base 1 to 52 matches the Rfam family "5.8S ribosomal RNA", at positions 103 to 154 of the family's 154-position model. Lineage: Eukaryota; Fungi. The record is from RNAcentral.
AACGCACAUUGCGCCCGCCAGUAUUCUGGCGGGCAUGCCUGUUCGAGCGUCAUUUCAACCCUCAAGCGCCCGCUUGGUGUUGGGGGCCGGCGGGGGGCGAACAACCGCCCCCCCAGCCGCCCCCGAAAUGAAUUGGCGGCCCCGUCGCAGCCCUCCUCUUGCGCAGUAGCACACCUCGCAUCGGGAGCUCGGCGGCGGCCACUGCCGUAAAACGCCCAACCUUCUCUCAGAAGUUGACCUCGGAUCAGGUAGGACUACCCGCUGAACUUAA